UUUUAUCUUCAGGGCGGGGUGUGAGUCCCCACCGGCGGUAAAGCCCGCGAGCCGAAAGGCUGAUUCGGUGUAAUUCCGAAGCCGACAGUAUAGUCUGGAUGGAAGAAGGUAUAA
RNAcentral lists this non-coding RNA (114 nucleotides) under Clostridium sp. RNAcentral's name for it is "FMN sequence". It matches the Rfam family "FMN riboswitch aptamer (RFN element)". From Rfam's summary of the family: The RFN element is a highly conserved domain that is found frequently in the 5'-untranslated regions of prokaryotic mRNAs that encode for flavin mononucleotide (FMN) biosynthesis and transport proteins. Lineage: Bacteria; Bacillati; Bacillota; Clostridia; Eubacteriales; Clostridiaceae. The record is from RNAcentral. RNAcentral also lists the same sequence under 1 other name.